This 236-nucleotide ribosomal RNA is filed under the name uncultured Pseudomonas sp. Its description in RNAcentral is "partial 16S ribosomal RNA". It matches the Rfam family "Bacterial small subunit ribosomal RNA", at positions 120 to 355 of the family's 1533-position model. Lineage: Bacteria; Pseudomonadati; Pseudomonadota; Gammaproteobacteria; Pseudomonadales; Pseudomonadaceae. The record is from RNAcentral.
GGAAUUUAGUCCUCGGUAGUGGGGGACAACGUUUCGAAAGGAACGCUAAUACCGCAUACGUCCUACGGGAGAAAGCAGGGGACCUUCGGGCCUUGCGCUAUCAGAUGAGCCUAGGUCGGAUUAGCUAGUUGGUGAGGUAAUGGCUCACCAAGGCGACGAUCCGUAACUGGUCUGAGAGGAUGAUCAGUCACACUGGAACUGAGACACGGUCCAGACUCCUACGGGAGGCAGCAGUU